GACGAACGCUGGCGGCGUGCUUAACACAUGCAAGUCGAACGGUGAAGCGCCUUCCUUUUUGGUGGGUGUGGAUGAGUGGCGAACGGGUGAGUAACACGUGAGUAACCUGCCCCCUUCUUCUGGAUAACCGCAUGAAAGUGUGGCUAAUACGGGAUAUUCUGGGUCUGUCGCAUGAUGGGUCUGGGAAAGAUAUUGUUUCGGUGGGGGAUGGGCUCGCGGCCUAUCAGCUUGUUGGUGGGGUGAUGGCCUACCAAGGCGGUGACGGGUAGCCGACCUGAGAGGGUGGACGGUCACACUGGGACUGAGACACGGCCCAGACUCCUACGGGAGGCAGCAGUGGGGAAUAUUGCACAAUGGGCGCAAGCCUGAUGCAGCGACGCCGCGUGAGGGAUGGAGGCCUUCGGGUUGUGAACCUCUUUCGCCAGUGAAGCAGGCCUGCCUCGUUUGUGGGUGGGUUGACGGUAGCUGGAUAAGAAGCGCCGGCUAACUACGUG
Molecule: ribosomal RNA, 494 nt
Filed under: uncultured bacterium
Lineage: Bacteria
Description: partial 16S ribosomal RNA
Rfam family: Bacterial small subunit ribosomal RNA
Source: RNAcentral